UUCCCGUUGAUUGACUGGGUAGUGUCCGACAACGGACUAAGAGUUGGGGGUGAGUGUCAUAUUCAGGGAUUAUUUAUGUACCCUCAGAAAGGAUAAAGCGAAGUUAAACUUGUAGUUUACCUUUUCACAGAGUAAAUUCAGUGGUAGAAAUAAAGGGAAAACAAAGUAUCUUUAAUGGUAUUUAAAUGUGGAACAACGCAGGCGCAUGCGUGAAGAGAAAGGGGGAAAAAAAAAACCGGACCAGCCGAUCAGUCUCUUGGAUGUUUGCUUCCACCUUGAGCCGCAAGACCUCGUGGCGCAACGGUAGCGCGUCUGACUCCAGAUCAGAAGGCUGCGUGUUCGAAUCACGUCGGGGUCAUGGUAUCCCUUUCCAAAAAAGGGAUUUGUUUUACCCUAAAUACAGGCGGUAUCACUUUUCCCGGUGCUCGUAGGUUCUCUCGGGUCGUUUGUGGAUUGCAACAAGGGGAAGAACGCUAACACGUGGGAAGGACUGAAGUCAAGAAAUACGUAAUAAAGGUGUUGUUGGGGUCACCGGGAGGCGGCUCAUUGUCCCGAUAAAGCACGAUGAAUGUAAUUGAAAUAAUGGAAAAUAGAAGAUCAAACGGGAAAUCCUGGAAGGAAAAAUAAACAAAUAAGGCCCACUAUUUGGAGACAUGGAGAAUGUUACUGUAGAUGUGCUUAUAAAAAACAAGGAACGAGACACAGAAGGAGGACAAAGUGUGAAAGAAGAAGUUGAUAUUAAAAGUCUGACUGACACUGAACUAUGGAAGCAGCUUUGCUCAUAUGGAGUUAACCCUGGGCCAAUAUUACCUUCCACAAGAACUGUUUAUGAAAACAAGCUUCAGCAAUUGAUGACGCAAUGCCCAGGAGCAGCAGCUGGAGAGAAGAGCCGAAAGGUGGAUUGUGAAAGGGAAAAUGUUGGAGCAAAUGUACCACCUGCAGAAGUCGUUCUUCAGAACAGCAACUUCAGAGUAUCAGCAGAACGUGCCUGUAGUUCUGAUAAUAAAGAACCUUUAGAUGAAAUAACAGAACGCCAGAAGAAACUCUUGUCUCCUGAUUCUGAGCACAGUUUAGCCAAAAUAGUAGCAGAACUCCAAGAGAUAUUACCAGAAGGUAAAAUGGCAUCACAUCGGUCACAAGGAUUAAGGAAGAAAGUUGGCAAUAGCCCUGAGAUGAGCAAACAAAAGAAAAGUGAUAAACUGCACAUUGAUUAUGGUCAUCCCGAUGCAAACACCGUAGGAACUAGUUCUCGAAGAAGAACAUUAAGAGAGACUCCUCCUCCUUCACUUAAGAAAUGUCCUGAAAACAAACCACAGAAAACAUGUGAAAAACCAGCUGAAGUACUUAUGCCAAUGCAGAUAAAGAUUGCUGUGUUUUGUGUCUGUGUUUUCCUUCUCUUUGCGUAUGUAGCUAUGGAAACCAGUCCAUUCACAACCUUCUUUAGCAGAAAAUGAGUGCGACCCUUCUUGAGAGUUGGGUGGAAGACCAAGGAAGGCAAUUUGGUUAGUUGUUUAGGAACAAGUGAUUUCAGUAGCUCAUUAAACAGCAAUUGGGAUAAUCCAGUUUGUGUGUGUGUGUGUGUAUUUUAAAGCAUUUUUA
This is a long non-coding RNA of Notechis scutatus (mainland tiger snake), 1599 nucleotides long. Ensembl annotates it as LEM domain containing 1. The record is from Ensembl. Lineage: Eukaryota; Metazoa; Chordata; Lepidosauria; Squamata; Elapidae.